RNAcentral lists this ribosomal RNA (492 nucleotides) under uncultured bacterium. RNAcentral's name for it is "partial 16S ribosomal RNA". It matches the Rfam family "Bacterial small subunit ribosomal RNA", at positions 29 to 507 of the family's 1533-position model. The record is from RNAcentral.
AGUGAACGCUGGCGGUAGGCCUAACACAUGCAAGUCGAACGGCAGCACAGUAAGAGCUUGCUCUUACGGGUGGCGAGUGGCGGACGGGUGAGGAAUACAUCGGAAUCUACUUUUUCGUGGGGGAUAACGUAGGGAAACUUACUCUAAUACCGCAUACGACCUACGGGUGAAAGCAGGGGAUCUUCGGACCUUGCGCGAUUGAAUGAGCCGAUGUCGGAUUAGCUAGUUGGCGGGGUAAAGGCCCACCAAGGCGACGAUCCGUAGCUGGUCUGAGAGGAUGAUCAGCCACACUGGAAGUGAGACACGGUCCAGACUCCUACGGGAGGCAGCAGUGGGGAAUAUUGGACAAUGGGCGCAAGCCUGAUCCAGCCAUACCGCGUGGGUGAAGAAGGCCUUCGGGUUGUAAAGCCCUUUUGUUGGGAAAGAAAAGCAGCAGGUUAAUACCCCGCUGUUCUGACGGUACCCAAAGAAUAAGCACCGGCUAACUUCGUG